RNAcentral lists this ribosomal RNA (959 nucleotides) under Sphagnum recurvum. RNAcentral's name for it is "eukaryotic LSU rRNA". It matches the Rfam family "Eukaryotic large subunit ribosomal RNA", at positions 47 to 1005 of the family's 3401-position model. Lineage: Eukaryota; Viridiplantae; Streptophyta; Sphagnopsida; Sphagnales; Sphagnaceae. The record is from RNAcentral.
UAAGCGGAGGAGAAGAAACUAACCAGGAUUCCCCUAGUAACGGCGAGCGAACCGGGAAGAGCCCAGCUUGAAAAUCGGAGGGCUUCGCCCCUCGAAUUGUAGUCUGGAGAAGCGUCCUCUGCAUCGGACCGGGCCCAAGUUCCCUGGAACGGGACGAGAGAAAGGGUGAGAUCCCCGUCGAGCCCGGACCCUGAUGCUCCACGAGGCGCUGUCGGCGAGUCGGGCUGUUUGGGAAUGCAGCCCUAAGCGGGUGGUAAAUUCCAUCCAAGGCUAAAUACCGGCGAGAGACCGAUAGCGAACAAGUACCGCGAGGGAAAGAUGAAAAGGACUUUGAAAAGAGAGUUAAAGAGUGCUUGAAAUUGCUGGGAGGGAAGCGAAUUGAAGCUGCGGUUGCGCCCCGGUUGGAUGCGGGACGGGGAUAGUUGUCCGCCGUUCAACGCGGGGGGUUGUCAGGUGGGCCGUCGCGGCGGGAACAAGAGCCGGCUUUCGUUGCCGGCCGAUGCCGUUGUGGCGGCCGAGGAACGAAGCGCGCGCCCUUCUGGGCGGGCCCUUCGGGGCACCUGCGCGCUCGGGACGCUGGCGAUCGAGCUCUCCAUCCGACCCGUCUUGAAACACGGACCAAGGAGUCUAACAUGUAUGCGAGCCGGUGGGCGGCAAACCCAUUGAGGCGUAAGGAACCUGACAGGUGGGAUCCCCUUUCCGGGGGAGCACCAUCGACCGACCGUGAUCUUCUGUGAAAGGUUUGAGUGCGAGCAUGCCCGUUGGGACCCGAAAGAUGGUGAACUAUGCCUGAGCAGGGCGAAGCCAGAGGAAACUCUGGUGGAGGCUCGUAGCGAUACUGACGUGCAAAUCGUUCGUCAGACUUGGGUAUAGGGGCGAAAGACUAAUCGAACCAUCUAGUAGCUGGUUCCCUCCGAAGUUUCCCUCAGGAUAGCUGGAGCUCGUGCACUAGUUUUAUC